Molecule: long non-coding RNA, 1276 nt
Organism: Macrobrachium nipponense
Lineage: Eukaryota; Metazoa; Arthropoda; Malacostraca; Decapoda; Palaemonidae
Exons: 11
Source: RefSeq, a predicted model, not a curated record
UUUUUUUUUUUUUUUUUUCUUUUGUCGUUAACUAUCUUCGUAAUCGGACGUUGUACCUACAGUUGAUAAUGGUAGAAAUGUGACACAGGGAUGCUUCAAGAGAAAAUGAGCUCUUCAUUCAUCUGAAAUGGAGAGUAGUGUUUAUCCGGCCCAAGGCAACUUGUGCACUCCAGUGGCAAGAGAGAAAGGAGAUAUGGCAUAGAAAUGAAGCUGUUGGGAGAUUUUACGGAUUUUCAUGACAAAAUCGAUACCCGUUGAAAUUAAGAUUGGUGUUUGGGGCUGCGAACAUAUUGGAAAAUGCUAACUUCGGUCCAGUUCUUGACAUAGUUAUAUUUUUGAGGAUUGAAUCAAAGGCAGUGCCAAUCCUCAGGAGUCCCAUUCUCAUGCUACUUCACCGAUAAUGCCGGUAAUAAGAGAGAGAGGUCGACAUGGGAAGACAAGGGUCAGUUGUGAAAGAAGUUGACCGUGCUGGACGACGGUACAACUAAAACCGAGUUCGUGUUCCCGACGGGAAUUGGACCAGAGAUAAAACUCUUCUCUUUCCGAAAUUCUAAAUGGCUAACCUGACACUGCGUGCUUUUAUGCAUAUAUGCACAAGUUCAGGUGAACAGGUGCAUCUUUGGUUUUAGUAUAUAUUACAAAGGGUUCCAGAAAUGGUGGAGUUGGGUUCAUAUACGCGCGCACGCGAGCGGCUCAUGCGCGCUUAUGUCUGCAGGUUCCUAAAUGCAUCCCGUUGUUCGACGUAUUUCUGUCUUCUUAUUUCCCGAAGGUGAUCGCAUGAACCUUCGUUUCCACAUAAGAGAUCUUGGUACAGCGGAAGAAGGCUAACCGGGAUGAGGUGAUCAUUUGGUGCUAGUGCCAAGUCACGCGUGUUCCAUCACACCAGAGGCCGAUGGGACUGGAAUCCUAAAGGGAGGCACAAAACCCCAUGCUUCGUGAAGGAUGGGAAGACGAGAGCGAGAAGGGGGUUCCCAAGUAUCGAAAGGUUUAGCAACAAUGCAGGAAUAUAAAUGAAUGGGAGUUGAUGGUAAGCUAGAAAUAUCUGAAAUAAAUGAAAAUCCAGGGACAACAAAUAGAACAAUUGAAGACUUGUGAACAUAAUCGACAUUUACGAUACAGGAAGCCAUAAAUGAGGCAGUGCGCAAUAUAAUCUUGGGGCAAUUAUUGUUGCACAAUUCAGCGAGACAAAAGUAUUUAUUAUGUGGCGUCAUUUGGAGCCUGGCAACCUGCAUCUUGAUUGGCACAAAAAGUGUAAAAAAAAAUAUGAGAUAUACAA